This 1487-nucleotide long non-coding RNA is filed under the name Bemisia tabaci. Its description in RNAcentral is "lncRNA ENSSWEETPG003854". Lineage: Eukaryota; Metazoa; Arthropoda; Insecta; Hemiptera; Aleyrodidae. The record is from RNAcentral.
CUCGCUCGCAGCAUCCUCUCCAUUCCACUCGCUCGCAGCAUCCUCUCCAUUCCACUCGCAUCGCAAGUGCCGUCCUUUUAUCACCAAUCACCAGAUCCGAUCACUGAUAGGCUAUCAAUCCACGGAUUCGCGAAAACCCGCCCGCGUCACCCGCGCGGCGCUCGCAAGCUUGCUCCGGUAGCAGCCUCAACUCAUCAGUCCCCCGUCACCACUCCAAGUAGUGCCAGGCCGAUCCGGGGAAAAAACACUCGGAAUGUUUUAAGAAGCGGCUGUGCGUUAUCGGCGGUAAUUCAGUGCACUUGUGCUCGUCGUCGGUCGUGUGUGAUGUCGCGAGUGAAUGCGUGCUCCUAAUUAUCCUCGUGUGUUCAGUGCUCAGACGCGUCUGUGGUCAUCUCGGUUAGCGACCUUCUCUGGAUUCGACCCGGUUAAUUCGUGUCGAAUGAAAGCUCCCUCGCGCCCUCUGCCAUCCCUUCAUCGAGUUCGAGGGCUCAGCAACAACGCGAGCGUCCUAUGCUCUUGUGCCAGGAUCAACGUACUCCCAUUGGUCAUUGGGGUCCUCUCCUUCCUUAGGCGUGGGCGGCCUUGGAUGCGAUUCCCACCAAAAUGUGGGCCGAUUGGAGUCUCCAACGUUUACUCUGUCUUUUAUGCCACGUGGACUGACUGAAUAUGUUUGAAAAUGAAGUUGGUUACGUAUACAUGUCGAACAAAUCUGUCUGGGCUUUGAAAUAUGUAUGCUACGUGAACAGACAUGCAGUCGAGUCAAAUCUAUUGAAAUUUCACCGGCGAAUGAAGUUUACGGUAAUAAAUGUCUAGAUUUUAGCGUGACGUCAUUGUCACUUCAGAGAUAAAAAGACCUAAACUUUUAGAUUUGUAAGUAUGAGGAAAAUUCUCAUCAAAAUGUAUCAUCGCCUUAGCUCUAAAGUAAUUUAUUUGUACUGGUGAUUUGUUCGGGCUCUAGGAACAUAAAAUGACAAAACGUCAUUUCUUUACAGUGUAAAAUGUUCUGAGCAGCUCAUGGUGCAAACUUAUUUAUGCGAUGUAGGUUCGAAGUUUGAAAUACAAAAUGACUCUCACAUGUGCCUUCAUUCUCCUUAUUGUAGAGACUAGGUUUAAACGAAUACACCCCAAAAGAGGAAGAUGAAAAUGCAGAGAAGAGAGGGAAAAAUAAAAAAAUAGACAUAAUUUGUGACCACCCACGCACGGCGAGGGGACUUUAGUCCACAGCGGCAACUUUUUCAUUACCUACAGUAAUCGAGAGGUUUUGGAGGACAAGGUCCAUAAGUGCAGUUUUUGAAAAACUUGAGGUAUUAAUGAUUUCAAGUAAAACUAGUUAUAAUGCGUAUUCUGUGAAAAAUGUGCUCCAAAAUUCCAAUUCGUUUGCACCAAAAAGUCAGUUUGAACUUCUUCCCCCCCCCCCCAAAGAUCCAUUUAAUUUCAAAACUUCUAACAUGUAUUUAUCGAAAUAGCAAAUACUGUACUUAUGCGCU